RNAcentral lists this ribosomal RNA (445 nucleotides) under uncultured bacterium. Its description in RNAcentral is "partial 16S ribosomal RNA". It matches the Rfam family "Bacterial small subunit ribosomal RNA", at positions 354 to 796 of the family's 1533-position model. The record is from RNAcentral.
GUGAGGAAUAUUGGUCAAUGGGCGCUAGCCUGAACCAGCCAAGUAGCGUGAAGGAUGAAGGCUCUAUGGGUCGUAAACUUCUUUUAUAUAAGAAUAAAGUGCAGUAUGUAUACUGUUUUGUAUGUAUUAUAUGAAUAAGGAUCGGCUAACUCCGUGCCAGCAGCCGCGGCAAUACGGAGGAUCCGAGCGUUAUCCGGAUUUAUUGGGUUUAAAGGGAGCGUAGGUGGACUGGUAAGUCAGUUGUGAAAGUUUGCGGCUCAACCGUAAAAUUGCAGUUGAUACUGUCAGUCUUGAGUACAGUAGAGGUGGGCGGAAUUCGUGGUGUAGCUGUGAAAUGCUUAGAUAUCACGAAGAACUCCGAUUGCGAAGGCAGCUCACUGGACUGCAACUGACACUGAUGCUCGAAAGUGUGGGUAUCAAACAGGAUUAGAUACCCUGGUAGUCC